Molecule: long non-coding RNA, 624 nt
Organism: Larimichthys crocea (large yellow croaker)
Lineage: Eukaryota; Metazoa; Chordata; Actinopteri; Sciaenidae
Exons: 3
Source: RefSeq, a predicted model, not a curated record
CUCCUUCUCCUCCUCUCUGGUGGAGGUGGAGGUGAUGGAGGAGGUGGAUGUUUUAUCUCAGAUGAAAGCCACAUGUGGAGCAGCAGCUGACACUUUUCUUUAUUCCCUUUCAAGCUCCAGAAUCAGGUGAAACCAUCUCCGCUCUGAUUGGCUGACUCCUCUUUUGUUUUAAGAAAAUCAGAUUUUAUGUCUGUUUGUUUUUUUCAGCAUCUCUUUGUUUGAGUGACGGACAGGAAGCUCCUCAUCCUCCUCAUCCUCCUCUUCCUCCCCCCUCCUCCUCUCUGUGUCGGAUCAUGUGGGCUUCAGCAUCUGUGUCAUCAUUAGUAUCAUAACCCCUCUGAGAGAAGAGACACAUCCAUCUGUCUGCACAGGCCCCGCCUCCUGCUGCUCGUUACACAGCUCCGCUUAUGAUUGGCCGGUUCAGCCUCCAAACUCGGUUAACAGCUGAGCAGUAGAUCUGCUCUGACUGAUGGAGCUUCACUGACAUCUGCUGGUUAACUGACAGAACUGCAACAGACAGAUGAAGACUCAAUACAGGAGACACAUUUCUGUGACUGAACACACGUUAAAUCAACGUUAAUCUAACGUCUGUGACCUCCUGCUGACCCACUCUGACCUGUGAUC